CGCCGCUUGGUUCUCCGGGGACCUCGUUCAUUAAAAGUGAUGUACUCAAACAACCGAUUCUUAUUUCAGUAGCAGAAAAAUUACACAAGACACCUGCUCAGGUUGCUCUACGGUGGGGUCUACAGAUGGGUCAUAGCAUACUUCCCAAAAGUACAAGUGAAUCCCGGAUCAAAGAAAAUUUUGAGAUUUUUGACUGGUCAAUUCCUGAUGAUUUGUUCACUAAGAUCUCUUCUGAUAUCGAGCAGGUAUGGAUGCAUGCCAAAAGUAGUACAACUUGUUAUGUCUUGUUUUGUCUUGUCUUGUCUUGUCCUGUAUUGCAUAACAAAUGGGGUCUCAAGAACUUGUGUUGUUGUUUUUGCAGGCUAGGCUUCUGAGAGGCACUUCUUUUGUGGAUGAGACUCAUGGUCACUACAAGACACUCGAGGAACUAUGGGAUGGUGAAAUAUGAAUGUUGCAUGGUGUAGGAUUUUGCUUUCCAUGCUAUUCUACCUUACUCUUAACCUUUUAAGAUUUUCCUUAACCUUUCUUAAUGUUACGAGUGAAAUCUUAAACACUACUGGUGUGCAUUGUGGGAUGGAUGUUAUGUUUGUUUGUUAAUUUUCUUCCAUCUAUACAUUCCUAUUCCGGUGGUGAUUGUUAGUGUAUCCCACGUCGUCACGCUCGCUUAUGUCUUUAUAUAUGUUGGAGUUUUCUCUCUCUCUACUAAAGGGUUUUUUUUGGAAAGACAAUACUGGACUCCUCAUAUAUCUUACAAUGAUGUUGCAAGAAAUAGAUUUGCUUUUUCACCUUUUUUCUUUUCUUUCUAAUGUAUUCUUACUCAUUCUUAUUCUCAACAAUUUUAUGAAAAUUAACAUUUUACCCACCACCACCACCACCACCUCCAUCACUCAUCACUAUCGUCACCACCAUCACUUCAACCACAACUGCCACCACCACCAUUUAUUAUUUUUAUAAUUUAUAUAAUAUAUCUUUAGAUUUCGGAUGUUACCAAUGCUGGAGACUUUUUGGAUAUGAUAUUCAUUAUAGAACACCUCCUGUUGAAAGUUUGUCGUUUCAUCUUGAAGACAAACAACCUAUUGUGUUUAAACUAUUCCAACGUGUUACUAAUGUUGUUUUUAAACCCAUUAUUGCUGCUUUUCAUGUAACACCCAAAAUCAGAAAGGUCAAGAAAGAAAAGAAAACCCUAAGUUAAAGGGGUCGACUCGUCGAGUCCAAGGAGGAACUCGAUGAGUCGGAGCGGGAUCCAGGGGAUCGAGUAAGUGACCAACUCGGCGAGUCGGCUCGUGGACUCGGCGAGUUGGAUCUGAAGAGGAAAACCUUAAAUUCGGGACUUUGGGUGCUAUUUAAACUCCUUAUUCUCUCCAUUAGGGUUCCUUAGAGCCUCCUUUACACAGAAUACGAUCCCUAAGCCCCAUUGUUACACAUUCAAGCUUCCAAGCCAUUUUUGGGUGAUUUGAAGGAAAGAAGGAGGAGGGAAAUCAUUGGAGCUUCAAGGUUUGGUCUUAGAUCCAGAGUUUGUGGAAUCUUUCAGAGUUAUUGAAGGUACUAAGCCGUUUCCUUCAUUUAGAUCUAUUCUAGUUAUGAGUGUUGGGGCUUUUAAGCCAUGUUUAGAUAUCCAUUUGAGUUAGAAGCCAGAUCUGAAGUUGCUACUUCAGAUCUAAGCACAUUUUGGCAUUGUGAAACAUAAAGUAACUGUCCUUGAGUUGAUUAUAGAGCCUCUUUGCCUUAAACCCUAGUUUAUGGUGUGUUUGGCCUAGAUAUCCUUCUCUACAUGUAAAAUUUACAACUUUACGUGAGUAAUAGGCUUGGGAAGAGUAGAUCUACAGUUUGGAGUCCAAGCAUGACUCAAAAAGCUUCUGCAUGUAUGAAGAACUGAAUGGACUCGACGAGUCCUUUGAGUGGACUCGGCGAGUAGCAUGAAGAUUAGGAGGAACUCGACGAGUGGGAUGAACAACUCGUCGAGUCGGAUGAAGAUUGCCGUAGACUCGGCGAGUCAAGUCGUGAAACCCCGAACCCCUUCGAGUUAGGACUCAGAUCAGUGAGUUGAGUGGAGACUCAGUGAGUUGGACAGGAUAGGACUCGAAAAUCAGUAGACUCGACGAGUCAGGGGAUGACUCGGCGAGUCGAGUCGCGAAUGGAAGGAUUCUGAGCCUAGGAACUCAGCGAGUCAGCAGGCAAACUCGGCGAGUAGAGUUGACCUGGAAGGUUGAUUUUGACCAAGACUUUGACUUUGACCAGAGUUGACUUAGUUGACUUUCGGAGGACAGUUAGACUAAGUGUUGCAUUGUUAUUGGUAGCUCGGGGAGCUAGUGGAGCAGGAGUUCAGAGAGUUGUCGGGCAGCAGCUAGAGGGGGUUAUCAGCAAGGUCAGCAAGUGUGGGUGAGUUUCCCUUUUGUGUGAAUGGGUCUACGGCCACAAUGCCGGCCCAUGUAGUUAUGAGUAGGAAGACCCGGGGGUUAGCCAUAGGUACAAUAUGCUAGUAUGAUAUUCAGGACGAGGUCCAGUGUAGCGGGCGGGUGCCCAAGGAAUGGUUUGCAUGAUAGUUAUACUUGUUGUCUGGUGGNGGUAGGGGGUGAGUGUGGGUGAGGUCCCGUAUCUCACUAUUAGCAAAGUAUGGUUGGGGUUCCAUAUCUCAUCAGUAGCCAAGCAAGGGCGAGGCCCAAGUUAGGAAAGGAGUGAGUGUGGUCCGGGCCCGUAUCUCACUAUCAGUAGGAGUGUGGACGGGGUUCCAUGACUCAUCAGUUGCAGGACAUGGGCGAGGCCUUUAGAACAGGAUUCGGUAGUAUAUGUUAGCGUAUGUGUGGCGAUAUGUUUAUGUGUUAGUAUAUGUUGGCGGGCGAGGCCCAGUGACAGGCGAGGCCUAAGUAAAGCAGACCUGUAUCCGAGCGGGGCUCGAAGCCAGGCGGGGCCUGGAGCGGCGGGGCCGUUGUAGCGGGCGAGGCCCAGAAUAACGGGCGUGUUGCCCGGUAUGUGCAGUAUGUGGCUAUGCAUGGUAUGUGGUAGGUUGGGGAACUCACUAAGCUUCGUGCUUAUGGUUUUCAAUUUUGGUUUCAGGUACUUCCGGUAGCGGAGGGAAGAGCUCGGGGUGAUCGCAUGGCACACACCAUAGCUUAGACAGUCUGGGACGUUUUACUCUGAUAAUGAACAUAUGUUUUUGGAAAUUAAUAUUCUGACUAUGUUAUGGAUUGAUAAUUAUGUUUUAAGCAAUGUUUCAUAAACGAAAUUUUUAAUCUUGAAUUUUGGGACGUUACAUUUCAAUUUUGGCUUGAAUGGAAUGUAACACCUAUGAUGAAAAGGCACGAAAAUUGUCAUAUGUUGAAGUCCCAAGUCAAUAUGUUUGGAAUAAAUCAGAUAAAGUACGGACAAGAAGAAAAACAAAGACAAAGUCACUUAGUAGAAUUAAUCACGUGUCUCCCAAGUCUGGUGAUAUUUAUUACUUACACAUUUUGCUUAAUAAAGUAAAGGGUCCUACUUGCUAUGAAGAUAUCAGGACAGUUAACGAUACCAUUUAUAAACCGUAUAAAGAUGCUUGCUACACUCUUGGUCUAUUAGACGAUAAUAAAGAGUACAUAUCUUUUAUACACGAAACACAUCAUUGGGCCACUACCACAUUCUGCAGGUCUCUAUUUGUUAUGUUGAUUACAUCCGAUAGCCUAUCCCAUCUUCAUCAUGUUUUUAAAGAGACCUAUAAUUGUCUUUCUGAUGAUGUCGUUCACAUUAGUGAACAAGAAAUCGGCGUAACAGAUACAUUUUCAAAUAAUUUAACCCAUUUACACUAAAAACAUUCUAAAAUUAAUUGAUAUUAAAAAUAAAUAAUUUCAUAAUUUUUUUUUGUCUUUUCUGGCUUGAAGUUAAAACCGGAAGCAAUUUUCCACCUAACAUUGUCAUACAUUGAGAAAUCUUUAUCGAGUUGUGGACCGAGUUUGAAGCAAAUACCCAAUAUGUCGUUACCUUAUCACAAAUAUAUUCAAGAUUCUUGCAAUAUGUUAAUUCAAGAUGAGCUUAAUUAUGAUCCGUUCGAUCUUGAAGUCGAACAUCAACAACUGCAUUCCAAAUUAAAUGUCGAGCAAAAAAAGGUUUAUGAUAAAAUUAUGAAUGUUGUUAACAACAAAAAAGGUGGUGUCUUUUUCUUGUAUGGUUACGAUACAGGAGAAACAAGAAAACAUUUGUUUGGAAGACACUGUCUACUGCUAUUAGAUCUAAAGGUGAAAUUGUUAUCAACGUUGCUUUAAGAGGAAUUGUAGCACUCUUGCUCUCUGGUGGUAGGACAACGCAUUCAAGAUUUCAUAUACUAAUCAACUUGAAUGAGGAUUCAUUUUGUUCUAUUACAGCAAGUAACGAUGUAGCUGAAUUGUUGAAUAAAGCUAGACUUGUCAUAUGGGAUGAAGCCCCGAUGAUGCAUCGUCAUUGUUUCGAAGCAGUUGAUAGGACACUUAGAGACGUUAUACUUUCAUCAGACAAGAAUAAACCAUUUGGAGGCAAGACCAUUGUAUUUGGAGGUAACUUUCGACAGAUUCUUCCAGUAAUACAAAGAGGAAAUCAUUCAAAUAUUGUCCAGGCAUCAUUGCAUUCAUCAAGAUUAUGGCGUGAAUGUAUAGUUUUACGUUUGAAUGUAAACAUGAGGCUUCAGGUCGGCUAUCCAAGUAAUGAUUUUGAAGAGAAAAAAUCAUUUGUUGAAUGGAUUCUUAAAAUUGGUGAAGGUACUAUUAGUGGCUCUAAUGAUUGUGAAGUUGAAGUUGAAUUUCCAGAAGAUGUUAUCGUUCCCUCUACGGGUGACCAUAUUCAUUCAAUUGUAUCCACCAUUUAUUCAUCAUUUCAGAACCAUCUUGAUGAUCCAUCAUAUUUUCAAGAUAAAACUAUUUCGGUCCCUACAAACGAAGAAGUCGAUGUCAUCAAUGAGUACAUGUUAGAGUUGAUGAAAGAUGAAGGAAAAACGUAUCUGAGUUCAGAUUCUUUAAGUGAGACUGAGGCACAAGAUUCUUUUGAGGAAUCGGUAUACUCUCUAGAUGUGUUGAAUGGUUUUAAGGCUUCUAGAAUUCCCAACCAUAAACUUAUACUAAAAAAAGGUUUUAUGCACAUGUUACUUCGUAAUAUCGACCAAACCAAAGGACUAUGCAAUGGUACUAGAUUACAGAUUGUAAGACUUGGAAGACACAUUAUUGAAGCCCGAAUCAUAUCUUGCAUAUUUUUCAAUGAGACUAAUUAUAUAUUUCGCAUGAAAUUAACACCAUCUGAUAAAAAAAUCCAUUCCAUUUUCAGCGGAGGCAAUUCCCUAUAGCUGUUUGUUUCACAAUAAUCAUUAACAAAAGUCAAGGACAAUCAUUAUCAUAUGUUGGAUUGUACUUGCGUAGACCUGUUUUCACUCAUGGUCAGUUAUAUGUAGCUGUUUCUUGUGUCACAAGUAAAAAAGGUUUGUAGGUACUCAUGUGACGUGGAAGGUCGUUCAACUAAUAAAACAAAAAAAUGUUGUCUACAAAGAGGUCACUCAACAAUUAUAGAUAUUUAUCAAUUUCGAUGUAUCUUCUAUAUAUUUUAAUAACACAAAUAGCCAUAGUUUUUUUCUUUAAUCAUUAAACAUUUGUAUGUUUUUUAUGCGUUCCCCGCAUUUAGCGCGAGUUAUAAUCUAGUUUAUAUACAUAUUACCUUUUUUUAGUUUUAGUUUUUUGACUUUUUAUUUGAUUUAUAAUAAUUAAUACAAGAGUUAAUAGACUUCUUUAAGUUUUAACAAAUGUGUCUUUGAUGAAGUUUCACAAAUGGUUCUUAGAUGAAGUUUCACAAAAUGAUAGAAAUUGUCCUUAUCAAAAACUAUUUCAACUUAACGGAUCCAUCAAACGGACAUCCAUUAGAUGGACCACUGGUGUGCAAGGUUUGCUCUAAAAGACCAUUCGUCCAAAAAAGAUUUUAUAGCUAUUAUUUUAGAGAAAAAAAUGAAACCAUAAGGACCAUUUGUGAAAUUUUGUCUUUUACAUAGAUCAUUGACAUAUUAUCAACUUUUUGAAAGUUGGACUGACAUUGUGAAUUUGACCAAAACACAAGGACCAUUACUUCAAUCUACUCUUGGUUUUUGAAGCAAAUAAAUUCAAUUUUCUUUCCUUUCAUAUCAAUCAAUUAAAGUGAUUUAAUACCAAAACCAAUCGACCCUAAACAUAAGUACAUAACAAGUCGAAUUCACUUGAAUUUCUUCUUCUAAAGUAGGCUUAAAAUGAGCUAGAACCAAAAGAGAUGAUCUAUAUGUAUUAGUAUAUGUGUUUACUUCACGAACCAGAAGAGAGAAUCCGUAUUUGUUUCCUCAAGAUCCAUGAGGUUUCCUCAUCCAAUUCCGGCCUUUAAGAUUGAUAAAGUUGAAUAAAACAAAAUUGACAUGUGAAACAGAACAUCGACAUUUGCAGGUUUCCAUGUCUGAAAACAAUUUGUUUUUUAGGUUUUAUCUUGAUUAUUUUCUUUUUCAGGGACGAGGUUUAUGUAAUGGAGAAGAAGGCCUUGAAUAUGUCGACCGCAAUUCUCUACAAUGCGUUUGAAAUUGGGCUUGGGUUAUAUUCUCAAAGAGAUGGAAUUUUUGGUGUUUUCAUUUUUAGUGUCAAAUUGUCCCCUUUCUUUCCCUUGGAUCACUUUUGCCAGUUGUCUGCUGCUGGCUUCUUUAUUUUCAUAAAAAUAUGCUGUCCGUUUUAGAAAAGAAAAACAUUUAAAACUUGAAUUCUUUAAAGAAUGGGACCAAAAUUAUGGGUCCAAAGUCAACAAUCCAAACAUCUAACUGGAAAUAUGGAAAUAUUGGAGCUUUAAAAAACGGCAUCCGGCCAUAAAAGAGCCUAAAAUUAAGAGUGCUGUUAAUCCAUAGUCUUCUCUUCUUCCUCACUCCUACAAAAAAAAAUACAACCCUAUUCUCAACAUUUGUUCAAUCGCAAGAAAAUGUCGAAUGCCAUUCAAUUCUUUGAACUGUUUAACAAAACCAAGAUUCCUUCUGUAGGUCUCGGCACAUGGCAAUCGGAGCCUGGUCUUGUUGGUGAUGCUGUUACUGCUGCUAUUAAGGUUACCCUCCCUCCCUCAUAGCUGUUCUUACUCUCUGUCGAUUCGUAUCCUGUAAUGAAAAAAUCACUUUCAGUAAUGAUCGUAUAUUCUAUUCAUGUUUUGUGUUCUAACAUGUGUUUGUCGCCCCUUUACGUCAUUACAACAAAUACAUUUAGCACAAUUUAAUAAAGUUAACCAGGGUCAGUAAGGGUUUCGACUUCGGAUAUUCAAAUUCAAAUUUAGCUAUCUACCAAUUAGCAAUCGAUACCUAAAAUUGGCGACAUGAUGCACACAUUUCCGUGUUUUAUGAAGUCAUUUCUUAUGAAAUGUAUUUGAUAUAUAAUGUUUCAUAUGCAUGUAGAUGGGGUAUCGUCACAUUGAUUGUGCUCAAAUUUAUCGCAACGAAAGGGAGGUACGCAAUUACUUACUUUUGUUUAUUGGAUUUUCUUGUUCUCUGGUUGCUAAUUCUAUAAAAUGUCAUUGUAUAGAUUGUUAAAUUUUAUUUCUUGCAGAUUGGUUUCAUGUAAAUUUAUUUAUUUCAGAUUGGUUUAGUUUUGAAAAAGCUCUUUCAAGAUGAUGUGGUGAAACGAGAAGAUUUGUGGAUCACCUCUAAGCUCUGGUUUGCCACAUUCCAUGGAAUCUAGAUUCUUCUCAUAUCAUAACAUGUUUCCACACACACACACACACACACAGAUCCUUCCAAGUUUCAGUUAACAAGCUAUAAUGAUUUGCAGGUGUUCUGAUCAUGCACCAGAAGAUGUACCAGUUGCAUUAGACCGAACACUGAAUGAUUUGCAGCUUGACUAUAUCGACUUAUACCUUGUAUGUAUGCAUUACAUAAAAAAAUUGUAUAUCUUUUUGUAUAUAUGAUUGAUUCAAACAAUGAAUUUUUAUUUUUAUUUAUCUUGAAGAUACAUUGGCCUGUUAGGCUGAAGAAGGGAUCUGUUGGAUUAAAGCCUGAGAAUCUUGCUCCAGUAGAUAUUCCAAACACAUGGAAAGCAAUGGAGAAACUUUAUGACUCUGGGAAGGCGAAAGCAAUUGGUGUUAGCAAUUUUUCCACCAAGAAAUUGGGUGAUUUGUUGGAUGUUGCACGUGUUCCACCUGCUGUCAACCAGGUGGAAUGUCAUCCUUCAUGGAAGCAAACAAAACUAAGAGACUUUUGCAAAUCCAAAGGCGUUCACUUAUCUGUGAGCUAACACAUUGCCAUAAUAAACAAAAACAUUGAUUUUCAAAAAAUAACCAAAAAAGUAGUAUAUUUUAAUAAUUGGCAUACGAUAUGAUUUUGUAUACUUUUUGCAGGGAUAUUCGCCGCUUGGUUCUCCGGGGACCUCGUUCAUUAAAAGUGAUGUACUCAAACAACCGAUUCUUAUUUCAGUAGCAGAAAAAUUACACAAGACACCUGCUCAGGUUGCUCUACGGUGGGGUCUACAGAUGGGUCAUAGCAUACUUCCCAAAAGUACAAGUGAAUCCCGGAUCAAAGAAAAUUUUGAGAUUUUUGACUGGUCAAUUCCUGAUGAUUUGUUCACUAAGAUCUCUUCUGAUAUCGAGCAGGUAUGGAUGCAUGCCAAAAGCAGUACAACCUGUUAUUUCUUGUCCUGUACUGCAUAACAAAUGGGGUCUCGUGAACUUGCGUUGUUGUUUUUGCAGGCUAGGCUUCUGAGAGGUACUUAUUUUGUUGAUGAGACUCAUGGUCACUACAAGACAGUCGAGGAACUAUGGGAUGGUGAAAUAUGAAUGCUGCCUGGUGUAGGAUUUUGCUUUCCAUGCUAUUCUACUUUACUCUUUACCUUUUAAGAUUUUCCUUAACCUUUCUUAAUGUGACGAGUGAAAUCUUAAACACUACUGUUGUGCAUUGUGGGAUGGAUGUUAUGUUUGAUUGUUAAUUUUCUUCUAUCUAUACAUUCCUAUUCCGGUGGUGAUUGUUAGUGUAUCCCACGUCGUCACGCUCGCUUAUGUGUUUAUAUGUGUUGAAGUUUCCUCUUUCUCUACUAAAGGGUUCUUUUGGAAAGACAAUACUGGACUCCACCUAUAUCUUACAUUGAUGUUGAAAGAAAUAGAUUUGCUCUUUCAC
RNAcentral lists this long non-coding RNA (9076 nucleotides) under Lactuca sativa (garden lettuce). Its description in RNAcentral is "long non-coding RNA (LSAT_LNC005977)". The record is from RNAcentral. Lineage: Eukaryota; Viridiplantae; Streptophyta; Magnoliopsida; Asterales; Asteraceae.